Molecule: long non-coding RNA, 1417 nt
Organism: Perca flavescens (yellow perch)
Lineage: Eukaryota; Metazoa; Chordata; Actinopteri; Perciformes; Percidae
Exons: 4
Source: RefSeq, a predicted model, not a curated record
UAGCGGCGGAGAGCAGCCGAGCAGCGGAGCGCAACACGGACUCUGUCCCGAACCGACCGCUGACAGCCCAGUUGGACUUCUAACAAGUCAGCUUUUUACCCGGGUGGGACCGGGACGAUUCUGCUUGGGACCAGAGAUAGGGACCGGGGAUAGACAGGAGAGAGAUGGCGGAUGACAUGCAGCAAAGGGCCGCAGGUCGGACUUGAACCCGGACCGCUGCAAAGGACUCAGCCUUCAUGGGGCGCACGCUCUCACUGGUUGAGCUACAGGUCGCCUCUUAAAGCACCAAUUUAAGGAACCCCACGAUGUCCUACUGUUAUUCGCCGGCUCUUCGACCGAAUGUCUACCGGUGCAUUGCAGAGAGCCCCAGCUGAUACGAGACUUGAUGAAGAGACACGGCUUGACAUGCUCUACGGUCUGGAAUGAUACGACAUCCUUGUCGGCGAAUCAUCCUUGCGUGGCCUCGUGUGAGCAGAAUAUGCCAAUAGUUUACGUCGUUGGCCAAGACUACGAUGAUAAAGAAGCCGACACGACGCAACUCUGCAGCAACAUGAAACACAUUAAAGUGCAUUUCCGCCUUGAGACACAAACGCUACGACUUGAACACCCGUGGAGCCGCACUCUACUACUCUGAUGAUACGUCCACACUGGGCGAGGUUAUCGCGGAAGAUCGUCGAUUCAAGUCGUCUGCAAAGUGCAUCGAUUCCGAAGGACGAGUAGUCGAUGCUAAAUCCAUGUCAGAGUUAAACCCAGAUCAGGAGUUGACCAUCACAGACGAUUCGGCUGAUGACCAGGACGAGCUUGUACCAUUUACCUGUACCUACUGCAGACUAAACCUCGGCGACGCCUAUCUCGGCUGUUGGGAGUGUUUUUCGAGAACCAACGUGGAAACGGUUCUGUUAUCCGCUGUCUGAGUUGCUGGCCAAUAUACACGUAUGUCCGUACCAAUCAACUUUAGUGUCAUACGCGGCCGAUGUUACAAGAAGGAGCCCUGGGUCUUAGAUUGUAACCAUGUGAUGUGCAGAUGCACCGUGCUACAUGCCAGAUGUCCUGUGUGUGAGAAGGAAGUCACAAAGCUUCAGAGGGUGUUCCCUUGAGAUGCACCAUGUACUGUGCUGUGUGUAAGAUCGCCAGGCUUGAAAGAGUCAAUCCUGAGAGUAAACAUCUGACACGCACAAUGUAACACAAUGUCCUGUGUGUGUGUGUGUGUGUGUGUGUGUGUGUGUGACUUAAUGGGUCUGUAACCAUUCACUAUCAGGAGGAUUUGUGCGCAAAUGCUAUAGAAAAGACAGUUAGUCUUGUUUCUGUGUCAUGAAUUUAACCCUUGGUGUCCUUCUGUUGACCAUGCUACCUUUUGUUUUUCUGGGCCUAAAUUUAAAUUUAAAUUGUUUUCUAUCCCCAAAGUUUUCCUGUUGCU